Molecule: long non-coding RNA, 14690 nt
Organism: Anolis carolinensis (green anole)
Lineage: Eukaryota; Metazoa; Chordata; Lepidosauria; Squamata; Anolidae
Exons: 2
Source: RefSeq, a predicted model, not a curated record
CCCAUAUUGUUAUUUUUUCUUUUUCUUUUCCCCUCACCUGCCUCGACCAUUCCCUCAGUGUGAAUUUUUAUUUUAUUUGUAUUUGGAAAUAGUAAAGGUAAAGGUCUUCCCCUGACAUGAAGUGUAGACGUGUCCAACUCUAGGGGUUGGUGCUCAUCUCCAUUUCUAAGCCAAAGAGCCAGCGUUGUCUGUAGACAUCCCCAGGGUCAUUUGGCCGGCAUGACUGCGUGGAGCGCUAUUAUCUUCCUGCCGGAGCGGUACCUAUUGAUCUACUCACAUUUGCAUGUUUUCGAAGUGCUAGGUUGGCACAAGCUGGAGCCAAUAGUGGGAGUUCACCCUGGAUUCGAACUGCCAACCUUUCAAUCAGCAAAUUCAGCAGCUCAGUGGUUUAACCCACUGCACCAUCAGGGGCUCCUUUAUUUGGAAAUACUUAAAAUUAUUUGGAACACAAAAAGAAAGAUCUGGGAAGCACUGGGGUAGUAGUAACUUAUGGAAUAUCUCUACUGAAGAUACAGUCUAAAGUCCUUUCAUAGAAUCAUAGAAUAGUAGAGUUGAAAGAGACCUCAUGGGCCAUCCAGUCCAACCCCCUGCCAAGACGCAGGAAAUCACCUUCAAAGCACCCCCGACAGAUGGCCAUCCAGCCUCUGUUUAAAAGCCUCCAAAGAAGGAGCCUCCACCACAGUCCAGGGCAGAGAGUUCCACUGCAGAACAACCCUCACAGUGAGGAAGUUCUUCCUGAUGUUCAGGUAGAAUCUCCUUUUCUGUAGUUUGAAGCCAUUGUUCCGUGUCCUAGUCUGCAGGGCAGCAGAAAACAAGCUUACUCCCUCCUCCCUAUGACUUCCCCUCACAUAUUUGUACAUGGCUAUCAUGUCUCCUCUCAGCCUUCUAUUCUGCAGGCUAAACAUGCCCAGUUAUUAUAAAGAAUUCAUUGGAAAAAAUUAGCAUCCUCACCAAACAGUUCUUUCUCAGGACUUACUUUGCACACAUCACAGCAAUUAAAUUGACAGAAAAGAGUUGUUAUCUUUGUACCACCAAUAGCCCUAAAUGGAAUUAUUAACACAAGGGACCUUCUGACUGGUAGCAUCAUAUAAUGAAAUGUCUUAACAUUGCUGGGUUGUUCAUAGGAAAUAGCAGACACUACAAUAACUAAAAAUAAAAGGAAGAGAUUCAGAAAUCCUUUACACUGGGGUAACCAGCUCAAAACGGAAAAAACAGAGAUGAUGGUAGGAAAUAAGUACCAGAAACAAUAGCAAAGAGAAUCUAUCUAAUUCAUGUAUGUCUCCUAAACAGUUCUACUUUUAUACUAGAGAAGAGAAUUCAGGGUCGCCCCAAUUAAGCUGGUAUGUAGUAGGUUAAGUCAGACAUAAAGGAAGUAUUUCUACACACAGUGCAUAAUUAACUUCUAAAAUUUACUACUUCAAAGUGCAGAGGGAGGAAAGUAUAAUGCCUGCACAGUUAGAUGGCUUUUUUUUUAAAAAAAAACCUCAAAUGCUUCCAGUUGGAAAUGUCCACUAUUUCAGGCCUCAUUUGGUACCGACAAGUAUUCCUGAUACAAAAUAAGCUUUGUUGGUGACAGAGAGAUACAGCAUAUGUCUAACAGCAGAGGAAAGUGCCUUGAACCUUUUAGCUGAUGAAGACCCCACAAUCCCUCAAAAUAGCUAGUAGAUUAGAUUCCUAAACAAUUAUCUUACUCAGAUUAUCCUUGGACCAGCAACAUCCCUCCAGGAUGAGAGAAAAUUGCAAAGUGAUAUCUAAAUGCUUUAGUAGCCCAUAGCCAGAUAAAGGAAAGUUCACAAUUCGAGCAACAAAAAGGCAUAAUUACCUUGGGGGUUUUUUCUUAAUUUUUUAAAAGUUGGUAUGAGAAUGGCCAGUCUCUUACACUAUUCCUAGCUAUGCCCCCGAUGACUGGAUGUGUGGGAAAGCUAGUGAACACAUACCUUAUCUCCUUGAACUGUUAGGCUAACAAUGUCAAGCAGUUCAAAACAGCCCAUUGGUGCCACAUGACAUUGACAAGGACUCUAUAAACCAUCUGUCCAAUAGCAAAAAUUAGAAACUAUACCCACAACACUUAAGAACCAUAGCUUACAUAGGAUUGCAGCCCCAAAUAAUUCAAGAUGCAUAGACAUGUUAAGACAUUUUAGCCUUGACCCUUCAAUGUAAAUUCAAUGUUCAAAGCAGUGUUAUUUCAGAAUAUCAGGUGCUGAAUUGAGAAGGAAUAUAUUUCAUGGAAAGUGUGAGCAUACUAAAUUAUUUAUAUUUUAGCUAGAGCUUUCAUGGAUAGGAAUUCACUUUUUCACAUACAGUUACUUCUUCAGACAUUCGUCCAGUAAUCAGAUUGAUUGCUUUUACACAUCAACCAGAGCCACCUUCUCAGGAGUCUAUUUCAUUGGUAGUAGCUUGUCCAUGAUAAAUGGGGAAACCCUCCCCAUCUGCCCACAAUAUUUGAGCCAUGUGACUAGAACAUUAGAGAACUGAGAGGUUAAAUGGCUAAUACGUUGGAAUAAUUUUUCUAAUUUACCGUAUGAACCUAACAGAUUAACAACAUAGAAAAACAGAAUUUUUAAGAGCUAUUAUCAAAAUGGAGAAGUGCGUAAGGAGGAAAAACAAAUCAAUAUAUUCAAAAAAUUAGCAACUACAAGAUUUUAGAAUAUAUUCUUUUUCGGAGUCAUGCUAAUGUUGUGUGUAGUCACAGUGUCUAUUUACUUUUUUAUCUUUGAGAAUAAGCCAGAUUAACAGAUGAAUAUGCAUAGUGACAGACGACACUAUACAUGAUUAAAUUUAGGUAUUCAGAACAUUCAAAUAUUCUUGAGAAGUCUUUUCAAGCUUUCCUGGGAAACUUUCCAGGAAGUUGUAUCUCCAGUUCAAUAUAAACACCUCAGCUUGUUUCCAGGACACAGUUGUACCCAAGCUCUAAAAAGCUCAUGUUUCCAAAGUCUUAUGUGUCUGAGAUCCAUCAUUAACCUUGUCAUCAUCAGGACCAUGGAAAGGAUGCUCUUCAGAAAUCCUAUAAAGACUUCAACAACAACCACAUUAGCAUCACUUGUUCUUUUGAUUAAGAUGUAAUCAUCAUAUGUUGGAACCCCACUAGCUGCUUUAUGUAUAUGCUUUCAAAUACCACCAAGUAAACACCAUCCAAUCUAUAUUCUAUUGUUAAACAUCUCAUGGAUACAUGAUUGGACAUGGACUCGUGCUUCAAUAAUUUAUAUCAAGACAUCCUUUAAAAAAAAACCAAAUAACCUCCCAAUGAUGUUAAAAUAAAAGUCCAGACUAAAACAUGGGAAUAGUCAUUGCCUGUGCAUGGGUCCCCACCCCUUUUCCUUUACAUUCAUAUAUAUUAGGCAAAUAGACACAUUACAAGUACAUUUCAGCAUCAUACAAGCCUGUCUACAACAUGUUAUCCUUCUAGCCAAUGGUCAUUUCUUGGGAACCUGACAUUCAAAUCCCGCAAGGUUGAACUUUUGUUCUCUUUCUGCAUGGUUUCUAUCAGUCCUAAUCAAUAAAGGGAUGCUCCUGUGAAAACUGAUUUAAUAAGUGUCCCUGAAAGAUGGUUGUUCCUCUGCCAUAACCCCUGGAAUAAAUUUGAACUGCAGCAUUCAACAUAUCUAACAAUUGGUUCCAAAGGUAGAGUGGUGGUACUUGUAGGCCGGAGCAUACCUAGAGAACACCAUAUUGGAGAAUCCAAUUAUGCACAGUUGAAGAAUGCUUUAAAAUGCUGCUUAUUUCUUGAAAUAUAGAAAUCUUACCAAAAUAAGCCUUUUCCAAGCACAGGGCAUGACCUAUACAUUACUUCAUCAUUUUGAAACCACCAAGCAAGAUGGAAUAAGGAUUACAGAAUAAUUAACUAUGAUUUUAUGCAGAAUGCAUUGCCAUCUGUAUGCUAGAUAUAAGGCUGGGUUUCCUUGUUUGAUGAACAUGUGACUUCUCUAAUGAGAAGAGGGAAGAUUAAUGAAUUGAGAUAUGGCUUUUAAAGGAUUUUAUUGAAAUCCUUUACUAAUUAUUUGAGCAGAUAUCAUAUGCCUUCUGAAUAUGAGGGGUCAGAAAGAAAUAUCACCCAUGGAUGACAAAGAAAUGAAAAUGGAACUACUCUAAUAUUCUAUAUUUCCUCAAAUACCCCAUCUGGUAUGGCCAGUAGCCAUAAUCACACUCACAGAGAGUAUAAUUUACAAACUCUGCAUCAUGUUAACACAUUUAGUUUGCAAUUCUGUUUACAUAUACCUAGAAGCAGGGCAGAGUGGAAUUUACUCUUCAGUAAACAGAGGACUGCAUUCUAUUGCAACUUGACACAAAUUGCAGCUGCAAAUAAAAAAAAAAUAGAAAUCUCUCUGUACUCCAGGAAAUUGUAGUGAUCUGAGAAGUAGACUAUCGUGGCACAGUCUACCUUUCAGAUCUCACCAAAAUCAUCUUAUACAUUUGCUGAACAUGGAACUUCUUUAGUGAUCAGAUAUCAAGAGACUGUUUCAAUACCAUUUUAAAUUUCUCAUUUAUGUGUACUUUACCUGAGUCAUGUUAGGUAGCACCUUUCUACACAUGAAAUGGACAAAGUGAGUAGAAUAAUAUCGAGCUACUUCACAGGGCCCUUGGUAUCAGCACCCCUGCCCUCCCCCAUCACACCACUGCGGAUAUCAGAAUGCAUGGAUGCUCAAAUCCCAUUAUAUACAAUGGUGUAAUGAAAUGGCACCUUAUAUAUAAAAUUGCAAAUUCAAGGAUCAUUUGGGAUGAGUGAAGGGUUUUAAUCCAUGAGUGUAGAAUCUGUGUAUAUAGAAGGUCACAUGUACACAAUUUUUCAUCCAGGGCACUUCCUCUGCAAUAUAGAUGUAAUAGCAAAUUUUAUCAUCCUGAAUUUACAGGGGAAUUCUUAAAUAUACCCAUCUAUACUUUAAAAUUGCAAUUUCACAAAGUUGCUAUUUUAAACAAUACCUGAGCAAAACGUAGCCACUCUUUGCUACUACAGCAUGGAGGGGUACAGUAAAUGCUUUGAUUUCUGAUUUCAUUUGUAAAAAUGUGCAGCGUGUUUACUUGAGAAAGCCAAAACAUUGGUUUUUAAAUGAUCAGGAAGUUUCUUUCCAUAUUAAGGGUCUACUAAUCACUAAUAUGCCUAAAUCCAUUGGCUAAACACACACACACACACACACACACACACACACAGAAAUACUGUGAAAGCAGAAUAAUGGCUUACAAACAUGAUGUGUGGGACAUGGGGUGGUUGCACAGUGCAGAAAUAGAUGCACAUUUUGUUUAAUCUCUUGGCAUCUGCAAGUUUAGGGACUUGUUUCAAACAUGCAACUCAAGAUUUUGGGAAUUAUGGAUUACCAGGGCUGAGGGGUAACUAUUCCUUACUCUCACUGCUGCAGGUAUCAGUGGCUGCUCUGACUCCAUGUUCUAUAGAUAUAGUGAAAUCAAACAAAAUCCAACGUAUAGGGAAACAAAUAUGAUGGUGAAACUUUCACAGCACAGAUCUGCAUCAUUUGUUUUCUUUUUUUAGUUAUUGAGUAAGUAGGUCCAUAAAUUGUAGGCAUUAGGGAUUAGGAAAAAUUGGGAUCCUACCAUCCUACUAUGAUGACUGUCUAUUUUACAACAUCUUCGUUUCACACACUCUGGACUUAGAAAGUUCUGGGGAUAUAUUUAGCCACUUUUGGGACAAAAAUGAACUUUUCUGCAUGGGCAGAUUCAAGUUGUUGAAAGGGGGUUUGUUGGUGGGCUGUAUAAUUGUCAUUCCUUACUUUAACACUUUGCCCCUCCCUAUAGUUUUAAUCUGGGACAUCUCCCCAUUCUUGGUAUUUUCAUCACUAUUUAUAGUGCUGUUGAUACUUGGGAGGAAGAAGACCCAUCCACAUUACCAUCAGCCUACAACUGUUUUCUGAAUGGCAUUAUUUCUGAGUAACAUUAUGGUCAAUAUCUGUACUGUCUGUACUUAAUUUCCCUCUGAUCACACCACCAUAAUCAUAUUUUAGGUAUAUUUGUCUUCCCAACAUAGGCAUUUUGUACAUUUUAUGACAUGGAUUGUAGUCCAUGUAAAUGUAUGUCACAAUUAAUUUAUCAGAAUUUAAUCACACUGUUGUCUUGUUGCAAUCACAUUGUUUAAAUGAAACAAAACGUGCUAUUGAGAAAUGCUAGCACUUUAUUGAUAUGAAUGUCUGCAAUCAGUUUUCCACACAAACCCACUUCCUUGCCAUGUUUUCCCUACCCAAGACAUGCACACAGUGGUUUUUUUUUCUUUCUAUCUGCUGUCUACACAGUUUCAACAUUCUUGUGAGGUCUUCCUCUGCUUCACAAUACUGGGACUGCAGCAGAAGAAAAUUAUCACGCAAAGAGUAGUGGUGGAACAACAGUAAUAUUACAUUCAUUGAUGGGGUUUCUGUCAAUGAAAAGAGAUGAUCCAAUCAUGACUUAAGAGCCAUUUGGCAAUGGGAUAGCCACAAUGCCAUGUUGUAAUCCCCACCAACAGGCACUUUAUUUUGCCACAAGUGCACUCUAGCAGCUUUCUGUAAUGAGUCCCUAAUCUUUCAAGUGAGACAGCAUUCUUUAUUGUUUAAGUUAAAGUAUGCUUAUUGUCAGUUCAGGAAUUAAUAGUUGGAUUAAACAUGCAGCCAAGGCACCAUUUUAAAGAAUCUUGUUCUUGGAAAAUGUAUUCUCACAAAACCAAAUCAAGGCUCAUUCUAUUUAAAAUGAAGACAAAAGUAUUCAGAAACAUCCUACACCAAUGGUCAUGAAGUGAUCAGAUUUUCCUCACCCAAGUUAAAUUAAAUCCAGAGGGACUAUGCUCUGCUGAAAAUAGCCUAUUAUGAAAGUGUUACAUUUGCAUAAAGCAAAGAUAAAACUAAUAGGCUUUCCUCACACUUGAAGUGAUUAAAUUAAGUAAGCCAUUCCUUCUAAACAAGGUAUAGCAUCUUCUAGAAGCUUUUAGUGAGACAGCAUUUUCUCGAAAUUGUCCCAGUUUGGCAGGGGCGGACUUUGUUAAUCCUCUGUCGUCCCACUUUUCAUCUGCUUUCCAAGCAUCUGGGUUCUUCACUCCUUCCGCUUUCCUCCUUCAUCCUCAGUUUUCUUCCGUUCAAACUGAGUUUAAAAUGCAGAGUAGUUUUCACUCAGUUGAUUCAGCAGGUAGAGAGAAGAGAAGGUUGAAUUUUGCUCUUUAUUGUAUACUUAAGCAAACAUUUACUGCUGCAGUCUCUACAAACAAUUGUUUUUUUAUUAUUAAUAACAUUUGCCGUCUUGAGUACACUCUGAUGUUGCUUGGCUACAUCUGUCUCAGUUUUCACCUAUGAAAUAUUGGAGGAUAUGAAGCAGUUCAACAGAAAUACCCCUUGCAUCAUCCAAUAAUGUAUCUUCUCAGUUACUUAAGCCUUUUUUUCAAGAAAAAAAAAACCUGUGGGUCCUACUGCUUUAGCCCACAACUUCAAGAACUGUGCAGCAGUCCUUCAUAUCUGAAAUAUAUCUUUCAGUUCUCAACUGCCUCACCACUUCUUUGAUGCAGUAUACUUAACAUAGAAAGAGUUCUGCCCCAGGAAAGAAAGAAGAAAGGCACAAGGCCUUGAAGAUGCUUCAUCAAGAUGUUAAAAAAGAAACAGAAAGUAAACAAGGAAGCAUGCGAAUUUUAAGAACUGGGGUAGGUUGGCAGCAGGAGGAAGAGGAAGAGGUUCAUUUCCCAAGUAACUAAAAAUGGCAGAUUGAGUGCUGGGAAAACGGAUCCAUUAAGCCCCCUUCUACACUACCAUAUAAUCCAGAUAAUCUGGACUUUAUAUGGCAGCUUAGAAGGGGCCUACGAAAAAGCUGUUUGAUUCCUUACAACAGGUGUGGGUUAACUGUACACCUAUUGCAACCUAUGUACACUUAUUUCCUCAUGGGAAAACAGACCACCAUAAAAGUUAAUAAAAUCCACAUCAUCCAAUAUAUUUCAGGUAGAUAUAACACUGAGGCUGCAUCUACACUGCCCUAUAUCCUAGGAUCUGAUCCCAGAUUAUUUUCUUAUCCCAUAUUAUCUGCCAGCAUCUCUAUAUAUAAAAGAGUGAUGGCAUCAGGGCAGUGGACAAAACAACAAAACCACAGGCCCCCCAACCUCGAAAUUUGACAACACAACCCAUCAUCCACGGCUCUAGGUUGAUACAACAAAAAGAAAAGAAAAAUAGUCCUAAUUACAGGGAGAGGAAUAAUAGUUUUUAUCCAAUUGCUGCUCGUUAGAAGGCUAAGCUCCGCCCACUUGGUCUCCUAGCAACCUUCUCAGCCCAGGGGACAGGCACAGUUAAGCCUCACUUAGGCCUCUUCCACAGAUUAUCACAUUUUAACUGGGUUAUAUGGCAGUGUAGACUCAAGGCCCUUCCACACAGCUAUAUAACCCAUUUACAAUCUUAUAUUAUCUGCUUUGAACUGGAUUAUCUUGACUCCACACUGCCAUAUAAUCCACUUCAGUGUGCAUUUUAUCCAGAGUGUAGAAGGGGCCUCAUAUAAUCCAGUUCUAAGCAGAUAAUAUAACAUUAUCAAUAUACAGUAGAGUCUCACUUAUCCAACAUACACAGGCCGGCAGAACGUUGGAUAAGUGAAUAUGUUGAAUAAUAAGAAGGGAUUCAGGAAAAGCCGAUUAAACAUCAAAUUAGGUAAUGAUUAUACAAAUUAAGCACCAAACAUCAUGUUAUACAACAAAUUUGACAGAAAAAGUAGUUCAAUGCUCAGUAAUGCUCUGUUGUAAUUACUGUAUUUACAAAUUUAGCACCAAAAUAUGACAAUGAAUUUAAAACAUUGACUACAAAAACAUUGACUACUAAAAGGCAGACUGCAUUGGAUAAUCCAGAACACUGGAUAAGCGAAUGUUGGAUAAGUGAGAUUCUACUGAAAUAUGAAAUAAUUACUGUGGUAAUCCAGUCCAACCCAAUUCUGCCAUGGAGGACACAAUCCAAGCACGCCCAACAGAUGGCCACCCAGCCCCUCAAUAAUAAUAAUAAUAAUAAUAAUAAGAAGAAGAAGAAGAAGAAGAAGAAGAAGAAUAUCAUACAAUCCUAAAGUUAGCAGAUACCCCUAAGGAUCAUCCAGUUCAACUUCCUUAUAUUAUGCAGGAGGACACAAACCAAGCACUCCUGACAGAUGGCCAUCCAAUAUCUGCACAAUAAUAAUAUACAUCGAAUCAUAGCAUCAGACAGUUAGGAGACACCCCUAAAGGCCAUCUAGUCCAACCCAAUUCUGCCAUGCAGGACACAAUCCAAGCACUCCCAACAGAUGGCCACCCAGCCUCUCAAUAAUAAUAAUAAUAAUAAUAAUAAUAAUAAUAAUAAUAAUAAUAAUAAUAAAUAUCAUAAAAUCCUAAGGUUUGGAGUGACCCCUAAGGAUCAUCCAGAUCAACUUCCUUCUAUCAUGCAGGAGGACACAAUUCAAGCACUCCUGACAGAUGGCCAUCCAGUCUCUACAUAAUGAUGAUGAUGAUGAUGAUGAUGAUGAUGAUGACAAUAAUAAUAAUAGAAGCAUAGAAUCCAAGAGUUUGGAGAGACCCCUAAGGGCCAUCCAGCCCAACCCUUUCUACUAUGCAGCAGGACACAAUCCAAGCAUUCACAACACAUGGACAACAUAUAAAUACUAUACAAUACUACACAGGGACAUAGACCCCCCUCUACCCUCACCACUUUCACAGUACACAAACAACCAAAUGCAUACUAAACAUAAAGACAACCAUACAACACACAUUCAAUACCACCACUAUCUCAACAAUUUCUCACCAACACCACCAGACAACACCACCCUGAUUUGAGCGUCUGAUCCAACAAGCUUUGACUGAAAGUGAAUUGUGAUGGUAGGUUUAUCUCAUUUUGAAAAGCAAAAACAGGACAUAUUUACCAACUGACAGUUUCAAACCAUUGAUUAUGUCUCUCACUUUAAAUCCCACUAGAAUAUAAACUGUGAUACAUGCUAUUAGAUAUAUUCCUUGCCUUCAAUGUAUUUAAAUAAUAUUUUAUUUAGUGAUUUAAUAUUUAAUACUAUUAAUAAUUGAUCUGGUUACAACUGAAUUUUCAAUAACUAAGUGAUUGUAAAAUGCUGUGUGCUCAAAUAACUGAAGUACUCUGUGAACCACAUUGGUAUAUGCAUCUAUACAAAUGAAAACAAUUACAGUAGAGUCUCACUUAUCCAACAUAAACGGGCCGGCAGAACGUUAGAUAAGCAAAAAUGUUAGAUAAUAAGGACGGAUUAAAGAAAAGCGUAUUAAACAUCUAAUUAUGUUAUUAUUUUACAAAUUAAGCACCAAAACAUUAGGUUUUACAACAAAUCGACAGAAAAAGCAGUUCAAUACAUAGUAACGUUAUGUAGUAAUUACUGUAUUUACGAAUUUAGCACCAAAACAUCGCAAUGUAUUGAAAAUAUUGACUACAAAAACAUUGGCUAUUAACAACAUGGGCUAUUACAGUAACAACAUUGUCAGAAGUUAAAUCCGUAAAAAGUUCAGUCCUUGCUGCCUAGAGAAACAGCUUUGGAUCCGGGCGGGUGGCAAACUGCGUUGGAUAAUCCAGAACAUUGGAUAAGCAAAGGUUGGAUAAGCGAGACUCUACUGUACAUGCUCAGUACUUGGGUGAGAGACCACAAAUCAAUACCAAAUGUAGACUACAUUUCAGAAGAAGAAACUGGAAAAAACAACCUGAAUAUUCCUUGCCUAUGAAUACUGAAAUUCAUGGAGCCAUCAUAGGUUAACAGCCACAUGACUUGAAGCCGCAUCAAUAUGCACAUAGAUUCUUUGAUGCGUAUUUUGUUUUUCUUUCUGACAUUGGUUAGCACAAACAUGUCUCUUUGUUAAGUGGAGAGACCUUAUUCAGUAGAGAUGGGAAUAGGCAAUGUGCUGGAACGGCAUAAGUUCCAGCUUCCAUUUGUUUUGCUUCCUUGCCCAUAGUUUUAGAACAGUUACUUUUAUAUGUUUAUAAAGGUGGAGUUUGUUUUGUGUAAAGAAAAUGGAUUCCCUUGAAUCAACAAAGUGUAGGUAGCCUGUUAAAUGUGAUUUCUGAGCAACAAUUAUAACACCACAACUUCAUCACCUGGCCUCUUUAAGUUCACUAUAUUAAAUAGUUGAGUCAGCCUUACAACUUUGUGCUCGCCAUGGAAUCAAACUGAGGAGAACUUGAUGUGAGUAUUUUUGUCUUUAUACUUGAUAUUUAUAAUUUGUAUAUUGAAGGUAUAGGGUUCUGUUUGCUAUCAAGAAACUACUAUUAAGAAACUAUUUUUCAGCCACUGCUGUUCAUUCCCUUUAGGUCGCUUUAUUAUAACUUGAAUUUGUGAAUAUUAGAAACUUUCCACCUAAAAAAGACUUGGUCAUGGUCGAAACCGGUUGUGGAAGUUCUCUACAAAGGAAACAUAGAUGAAGAUUUGUUUAUAGAGACUUUUGUUGAAAUUUCCUUUAUAAGAAAGAAGAAAGAAAUCAGCAUUGUGAACUUUAAAGAGGAAAUCUGUUUAAAGGCUGUGGCGCAGCUUGUUAGUAGCCAGCUGCAAUAAAUCACUACUGACCAAGAGGUCAUGAGUUCGAAGCCAGCCCGGGUUGGAGUAAGCUCCCGACCAUUAAUGGUCUAGCUGUGCAGCUGAAAGACAAUUGCAUCUAUGAGGUAGAAAUUUAGGUACCACUUAUGUGGGGAGGCUAAUUUAACUAAUUUACGACACCAUGAAAUCUCCAGCAGCAUGCGGAAGAUAAGGAAGUACUCCAUCAAGGACUCAGUGUCACAGUGGAUGAUGAAGCAGCAGUUCCCCCUGUGGCCGGAAUUGAGCAUACCCUCAUGAAGCCAGAAGCUGGAAUGUUAAACUGCCUCUUUGUCUAUAUGUGGUUGUCUAUAUAUGUUGUUUGCUAAUGGCAUUGAAUAUUUGCCAUGUAUAUGUGCAUUGUAAUCUGCCCUGAGUCCCCUUUGGGGUGAGAAGGGUGGAAUAUAAAUACAGUAGAGUCUCGUUUAUCCAACAUAAAUGGGCCGGCAGAAUGUUGGAUAAGCGAAAAUGUUGGAUAAUAAGGAGGGAUUAAGGAAAAGCCUAUAAAACAUGAAAUUACGUUAUGAUUUUACAAAUUAUGCACCAAAACCUCAUGCUUUACAACAAAUUGACAGAAAAAGCAGUUCAAUACACAGCAACGUUAUGUAGUAAUUACUGUAUUUACGAAUUUAGCACCAAAACAUUGCAAUGCAUUGAAACACUGAUUACAAAAACAUUAAAUACUAAAAGGCAGACUGAAUUGGAUAAUACAGAAUGUUGGAUAAGUGAAGGUUGGAUAUGCGAGACUCUACUGUACUGUAAAUAAAUAAAAUAAAGUAACUCUUGUUAAAAAUCCCUUUCUACAAGAAAGAAACGGUAAUCAGUAUUGUGAAUGUAACAAACGUAUGUUUCAUUGUAUACUAAUUUUUGUUGUACCUUUUACAAGUUGUUGAAAAAAGUAUGUUUGUGAUUACAUCAAUAUUUUAAUAGUGGAUUAUUGCUUUGGAGUUUGUUUUGUGUCAGCCAUUUUAUUUGCCCUUUUGUGUGAGUUGGUUGGCCACGCCCCCUUCUGCCUGAGGUAAAAAGAGCUAUUAUAGAUCAUAGACCACCAGGGAAUUCUAGAGGCAGGACGUGUCUUCAGCUGGUCCCAGAGUUCUAGGCUUUGACAAGUCAAUACUUGACAGCCAGCUUGCCUAAGCAGCACUUUAACCAGCUACAUACGACCUGUUAUCUUAACCAGUUUCUCUCUACCAGUUACUACUUUUAACCAGUACUUUUACAACUACUUUACUGUCCAGUUUACCAUAACCAGUUACUUAUAACAAGUUUAACUUUUACAACAGCUACUUAACAAUCAGUUACCUACUACCAGUUUACUUCUAACCAAUACUUUCAAACCAGUACCUUUCAUCAAUCAACAGUUAAACAGCAACUGGUUAUCGCCUUUGGGUAUAGGGUGUCUCAGAGGCCCCUACACCAGAAACUGAGAACAUGGAAAAUGGUCAUCUAUUCUCAGCAAAACAGUCAUCUAUUCUCCUCAGAAACAUCCACAUCUGGAAGCUUCAGGAUCAUUAAGUUAUCUUUCAAGUUUUAAAUAUGAACUUUGUUGUGGGGAAACUAAGUUAGUGCCUGGGUGGACUUAAACCCAAGUCCUGUUAAUCAUCAUUUCCCUAAGAGCAACAGCGUGGACAUUAAUUCUGUGAGAUUCCUUGUUCUUAAAAAUGGCAUUCAGCAUCCCCCAAACUGACAAAGUUUAGACAUGUUUACACCAAAGUUACCUUAACAGCAGCUUGGGUGCAACAGUAUAGGUAAAUAUAGGAUGCAGGGGAUUAGGAAGCACCCCCCCCCCCCCCAAAAGUUGGUCAAGGUCAUCAAUGAAGGUUUCAUGAAACAUUGUAUAAGCUGAAGUCCUUCCCUGUUCCUACUCCUUCCUACAACUGUCUCAGCUGGAAGCUGAGCUCUACCACCAAAUUGACUACUGUUUCUCAUUCGGAAAGUGUAAGAAAAUCUGAACAUUUAAAAAAAAACCCUGGACUGAAUUUUAGCUCAGAAAAAAGAGAACAUGUCUGGUAAAAGGCAGAUGUAUGAUAACACUGUGUUGGGGGCUGGGUUUAUUUCUCAUUUUGUAGAGCUUUUAUGCCCUGUUCUUCAGAGAAAAAGACUCCCAGCGCAGCUUUAAAAUUGUUAAUUUGACUAGUCCAUGCCUUCAGGCUUUGAUCAAGUACACCUUCCAGUCCCCUUGGUCUGCCAGUCUUGCUAGUUCAGUGGUUCUCAACCUGUGGGUCUCCAAGUGUUUUGGCCUAUAACUCCCUGAAAUCCCAGACAUUUUACCAGCUGUUAGGAUUUCUGGGAGUUGAAGGCCAAAACAUCUAGGGAUCCACAGGUUGAGAACCACUGCACUAGUCCCUCUUUACUUUUGGACUAUCUCACAUUACAUAGUACUGUGAUACCACUUUAACUGUCAAAGCUGUAUCCGAAGGAAACAUAGGAUUUGUAGUUUUGUGAGAUAUUCAGAAUCCUCUUCCAGUGAGGUCUAACUACAAAUCUGAAGGUUCCAUAGCAUAUAGCCAGAGCCAGUAAAGUAAAGCCAUAAUGCUAUAAUUGUGUAGUGUGGCGGAGACAUGAGUUGAUGUUAGUGUGCAAGUUUGUACUCAGGAUAGGUGUCUCAACAGCACAAUUAAACAUUUGUUUAGACAGAUGUUUAGGCCUAACUUGUGUUUACAGUUCAGGUUACUUUAUUAGUACAGCUAUUUUCUUGGAAUUCCUGUACUGAGAGUAAAUAAAAGUAAUACCAAAACAUAAUCAUUAUCAUCUUCAUCUUCUUAUCUUAUCUAUUUUAAUCUCAUCUUUCUCCCCAUGGGGACUAAAGGUGGCUAACAAAUUGUUGGGUUAUCUAAGCAAUCAUGCAUACAUUUUCAAUGUGGGAUGGUUUAUGUAGUUAGUUUUAUUUGUUGCUUAGUAACCUGAAUCCAGAGUUGAUGGCACCAUUUUAGGGUUUUCCAUGUGAUGUGGGAAAUGGGAGUAUACUUCCUGGAGACUUACAGGAAGUGACCUAUGCCUUUAGAAUUUGGGGCAUAAAAGGAGAGACUUUAUUCUGUUCUUCCUCUCGUUGGCUCUUCAUGCUCUUCCUGUUUCUUGAUCCUGCCAUGCCAUGCUGAUGUUACUAUUUGUUAAGAGAUAUGUAGUAUUCUGAACUGUAUUCUUUUGGAACUAAGAUGUUUUUACCUGUAUGACCAUCAUCAUACAAGAUUGUGAGUAAACAUAUUUUUACUAUUUUA